Molecule: long non-coding RNA, 1708 nt
Organism: Bubalus bubalis (water buffalo)
Lineage: Eukaryota; Metazoa; Chordata; Mammalia; Artiodactyla; Bovidae
Exons: 4
Source: RefSeq, a predicted model, not a curated record
GCCUGCACAUCAGCAAAAUGCAGGCAAGUUCCCAUCUGUUUUCAUCCCUCUGUCAGGAACAAUUUUCCCAGACCAGUGGGGCAUGUAGACGAAUGGAAACAGGAUGGAUUAAGCCUAUCUUUGCUAUGAAAUUGAAAAGGCGAAAGAGGCAAAGAGAAAUAUACUUGACAAAGCUUGUCAAUGAGACAGCAACACACACAGAGAGUGAACAAAAUUGAGAAGAAACAGAUACAGCAUUAUGAAGACCAAAGUUAUAGGUCGGUUCUUUACCACUAGUGCCACCUGGGAAGCCCCAGCUAUGUGCUCAUACAAUGUAAGAAGCACCAAAUUAGGAAAAAUACACCUGAUGAGUACUUAUCCAGGCUUGGGAGACCAACAAGUUUCCAGGAGGAAGUGUGUGAAUCUACUGUUGGGGAAGACUGGGAAUCAUUUCUAUGGAGAAUGUCUCACAACGGCUCGUUUGACAUUGGGCGGUAUCUCUUCUCCAUCUUGAUACAUCAACACACUCUUCAGCUUCUGCACUCUGUGUACCACAGCCUUCUCCCAGCUGGGAUGCUCACAUCUCUCAGGAAGCUCUCUGGGACUUAUGAAACCAUCUUUGGGCCUCUUCUCUUCCUUUAAUCCCCUUCUUUAAUCCAGGGGAAAUGCAUGCAUCUCUGAUCUGUCGUCAACUUGUUCACGGUGUUGUCAUCAUUCUUUCUGGCACCAAGACCAUCUUAUAGAUGCUGGUCAACCACAUGACCCAACUUCCAGGAUUCACUGAGGAGAUUCUCUAGAGGAUUUGAAACAUCACUCUUAUGGCUUAAAUGAAGGGAAAGCAAUACCCACUCUUUUCCCAGAGGGAGGGAGGGCAAGAAAAGCACCACAAAAAGCAACAGUGUUCUCAGAAGACAUUCUCUCUCCCAGUAUCUUCAAACUCAGGCAUUUUAUUCCUUUGAGUGAGUGGGCUGAAGCCAAUAAAACUGAGUUUGGGUGGGACCUUUGCAAAUCUUGCAUAGAGGAGUCAAAUGACAUUUUUGAAAGGUCAGGAUGUUUUCCUCUAUUGCUUUAUUUGUUUGGAGACUUUAGUUGACUCAGAGGCAAAACAGGUCUCACUAUAUAAUGUAUUACAACUAAAUGUAUUACAAUUUCAAUUUAUGUUUUUCUGACCACAUUACACUAUUUCAGUUUAUUUUCCAUACAUGUUGGGCCAAAAGAACUAUAUUUGUGAAUAAGGACAGCAUAUAAGGAACAGCUCUAGGCAUAUACUCCUUUUAAUCACUGCCAUAAAUCCCCAUGAUUUAGGAAUUACUGAGAAAUUGCUAAAUAAAAAACUGCAAGUGAGAUUAUGUAAAACUAACAGAAUUGCAAAGAGCAAAUAUUUAACAGCAAGGCAGAGAAGGAUCCAUAGAUCUAAGACUUUUUUAAAAAGUAAAAUCUUGCUUUGAAGUGAAAUCUUUUUUUCACUCAUUCAAUGUGUUUAAUAAAUUCCAUAUAGGUACCAGAAAGAGUAUUAGGGAAUGUAAGUGUUAAUGGAGCUUCCAUUCCCAAAAGAGAAAGAGGAAAUAAACAAAUAAGUGAGCAUGGUCAUUUUGGGUAGUGAUACACUAAUAAAACUAUGUGAUAACCUAGAGGGGUGGGUUGGAGUAGGAGGCAGAGGAGGUUCAAGAAGAAGGGGAUAUAUGUAUAUUUAAGGGCUUCCCAGGUGGCACAGGAGAAGGCAAUGGCA